This is a long non-coding RNA of Amphiprion ocellaris (clown anemonefish), 1674 nucleotides long. NCBI's taxonomy places the organism in Eukaryota, Metazoa, Chordata, Actinopteri, Pomacentridae. The record is from Ensembl.
AUGUGCAGCUGUGGGCAGCAGGGACGGAGCUGAAAAUAAAUACACACAGCCUUGUUCAAAUAUUGACUGACUCGCCUGAACAAUUUGAUAUGCAAGCAGGCCACGUUUAAAGCACUCCUCCUCCGGCAUUCAACACAUCCUGCUGUCAAGGAUGUAGCGUGUUUGAGUGUCGGUGAUAUGACUGGCAGUUGUUUCCUCUCUCAACAUGCCUACAGCGAUGCACCUCGCCGUGAUGGUGGGCCUGCUGACAGCGACAAUCUGUAGCGGCAGGGGCACUUCCUCCGGACCUAAACAGGGAGAGAGGCUAACAAGUGCCACACAUGUCUCCAGCUCAGCCGUUUCAUCCACUGCACAAACUACCACCAACACAAAACCUACCACCAACACAAAACCUUCCGCCAACACAAAACCUUCCGCCAACACGAAACCUUCCACCAACACAAAACCUUCCACCAACCCAACACAGCCUCCAACAACAACCCACCAGAAUACUCCUGCAGCUGCUUCAGACUUGCCACAAACAACCAACAUGACGGAUGAAACUGAGCCCAGUUCUUCUCCUCAGAGUUCAACCGUCAACCAGACAUCUAAUGAGGCAGUUUCCCAAAGACCAACACUACCGCCAACAUCACGGCCACCAAAUGCCACGGAAACCACCACCGUGAACACGACCGGCUCAGCUCUUUCACCUGACGGGCAUAAAGGUGACUUGGCAGCCAACCCCGGCCUCGUGGCCAUCAUUUGCAUCUUCUGUAUCAUCCUGGGCCUUGUGCUGGUGGUUGCCACGGUGAAAUGUGUCCGAUCACAGAGGUCCAACUUCGAAAGGCUUGAAGAAAUGCCACUGGGCAAAGUGAACGAGCAGUCCCCGUUUGCCCAGUACUCAAAAUGACAGAGAAGGCUCCGUAAGACACCAGAGGCCCCAAGGACUUUUUCUGUUGGAGGACACUAACAUUUCUGGACAGAAAAAAACACAGAAAUGUUGUCCACACCAGCAGUGACUUUAGGCACAUACUAAAAGCAGCUUUAAUGCUUAUCUCUCAGGCUCUUACUUCUUUACAAAGCACUUUUAUCAUUGUCUGUGGAAUGUCUCUGCCUCAGGUUCGACCUGUUCGUUUGGCUGCUUGUAAUUCAAUUAAUUUAAGUCCUGAACCUUGAUCAAAUAGCGUUUGUACGAAAUAAUCCCCUAAUGUUUGUUUUGAAAAAUGAAUUGGUCUCAAAGGCAAAACUGUAAAUGUAAUGUUUCCUAAAAUCAUGACAUUUGAUCGUGUUAACACUUACGAUUUAUGACCGCACUUGUGACUUUAGAAGAACACAGUAUGUUUUAAGUUUCCAUAAUAACAGUUGGAUUUACAUACAAUGCUUAUAAAAAGUAUUUGCCCUCCUUUGAAGUUUUCUCCUUUUAUUGAUUUUAAACACUGAAGCAUGUUGGUGGCAGCAUCACCAUGUGAAGAUGCCUCUUUGCAGCAGGUCAUGGAUUGGUUGUAAAGGUGGGGGGGUAAAAUGAAAACAGCAAAGUGUCAGGGAAUCCUGGAUGAUAUGAUGCAGUCUGCAGGAGAACUGCAACUUGGGAGAAGAUUUUUUUCCAGCAAGACAAUGACCUGAAGCACACAGCCAACGUUACACAAAAUGGUGUAAAGAAAACAACAAAAAUGUUCUGGAGAGGCUGAGUCAGAG